UAGUAUUUCAGCUCUUUUAGAAUUUGUCUAGUGGGUUUUUGGUUUUCAUUAAAAAACAAA
Otolemur garnettii (small-eared galago) is the source of this 60-nucleotide small nuclear RNA. Its record names the gene U7. It matches the Rfam family "U7 small nuclear RNA". Rfam says of the family: Animal histone pre-mRNAs are spliced by a different mechanism than nuclear pre-mRNAs and self-splicing introns. This processing involves the U7 snRNP, which contains only one RNA species: U7. Lineage: Eukaryota; Metazoa; Chordata; Mammalia; Primates; Galagidae. The record is from Ensembl.